This 253-nucleotide ribosomal RNA is filed under the name uncultured bacterium. RNAcentral's name for it is "partial 16S ribosomal RNA". It matches the Rfam family "Bacterial small subunit ribosomal RNA", at positions 524 to 776 of the family's 1533-position model. The record is from RNAcentral.
CACGUAGGGCGCAAGCGUUGUCCGGAAUUAUUGGGCGUAAAGAGCUCGUAGGCGGUCUGUUGCGUCCGCUGUGAAAACUCGGGGCUUAACCCCGAGCCUGCAGUGGAUACGGGCAGACUAGAGGUAGGUAGGGGAGAAUGGAAUUCCCGGUGUAGCGGUGAAAUGCGCAGAUAUCGGGAGGAACACCGGUGGCGAAGGCGGUUCUCUGGGACGGUACUGACGCUGAGACGCGAAAGCGUGGGGAGCGAACAGG